Molecule: long non-coding RNA, 251 nt
Organism: Arabidopsis thaliana (thale cress)
Lineage: Eukaryota; Viridiplantae; Streptophyta; Magnoliopsida; Brassicales; Brassicaceae
Product: other RNA
Exons: 1
Source: RefSeq
GGAGAAGAGGAACCCUAAUUGAUUCAGAAAGAGAGAGAGUACUGAAAUGUGAGUAUGUGACCAUUGGAGUCACCUCAAUAAGUGGCGUUCCCGCUUCUUUUAUUUUACCCAAAACAAAUAUUAAAAAGUUCGUGAAAAAGAAGAAUUGGUGGAAAUUUAAAUCCUACUGAUGUUCACAAGCUUGGUAGGCCCUGUUCGUGUACUAGUCGCCAGUGACUAGCGACUGCGACCAGCGACCAUCAACUGCGAUC